Molecule: ribosomal RNA, 483 nt
Filed under: uncultured bacterium
Lineage: Bacteria
Description: bacterial SSU rRNA
Rfam family: Bacterial small subunit ribosomal RNA
Source: RNAcentral
GAUGAACGCUAGCGGCAGGCCUAAUACAUGCAAGUCGAACGGAUAUAUGUUUUUCGGAAUAUAUAUUAGUGGCGCACGGGUGAGUAACACGUACAUAACUUGCCCUCAAGCGGGGGAUAGCCUUGGGAAACUGAGAGUAAUACCCCAUAGAAUUAUUGGACGGCAUCGUUUGAUAAUUAAAACUACGGUGUUUGGGGAUAGAUGUGCGUCUGAUUAGCUAGUUGGUGAGGUAACUGCUCACCAAGGCGACGAUCAGUAGGGGGGCGUGAGAGCGUGGCCCCCCACACGGGUACUGAGACACGGACCCGACUCCUACGGGAGGCAGCAGUAAGGAAUAUUGGUCAAUGGAGGGAACUCUGAACCAGCCAUGCCGCGUGAAGGAUGACGGCCCUCUGGGUUGUAAACUUCUUUUGGAUGGGGCGAAAAAACGGGAUUUAUCCUGGACUGACGGUACCAUCAGAAUAAGCACCGGCUAACUCCGUG